AGGAAAUUAAGUACGGAAGUUCCUGAUUUCACGCUGUCAAGAAAAGCCUCUAGGAAGAGUAGUACUGCCCGUACCGCAAACCGACACAGGUAGAUGAGGAGAGAAUCCUAAGGUGAGCGAGAGAACUCUCGUUAAGGAACUCGGCAAAAUGACCCCGUAACUUCGGGAGAAGGGGUGCUCUAUUAGGGUGCAAGCCCGAGAGAGCCGCAGUGAAUAGGCCCAGGCGACUGUUUAGCAAAAACACAGGUCUCUGCAAAACCGUAAGGUGACGUAUAGGGGCUGACGCCUGCCCGGUGCUGGAAGGUUAAGAGGAGUGCUUAGCUUCGGCGAAGGUACGAAUUGAAGCCCCAGUAAACGGCGGCCGUAACUAUAACGGUCCUAAGGUAGCGAAAUUCCUUGUCGGGUAAGUUCCGACCCGCACGAAAGGCGCAACGAUCUGGGCACUGUCUCAACGAGAGACUCGGUGAAAUUAUAGUACCUGUGAAGAUGCAGGUUACCCGCGACAGGAC
This 509-nucleotide ribosomal RNA is filed under the name Listeria monocytogenes. RNAcentral's name for it is "partial 23S ribosomal RNA". It matches the Rfam family "Bacterial large subunit ribosomal RNA", at positions 1572 to 2081 of the family's 2925-position model. The record is from RNAcentral. Lineage: Bacteria; Bacillati; Bacillota; Bacilli; Caryophanales; Listeriaceae.